RNAcentral lists this unclassified non-coding RNA (169 nucleotides) under uncultured Ascomycota. Its description in RNAcentral is "sequence contains ITS1". The record is from RNAcentral. Lineage: Eukaryota; Fungi; Ascomycota.
CAGAGUUCGUGCCCUUACGGGUAGAUCUCCCACCCUAUGUUAUCAUUACCUUUGUUGCUUUGGCGGGCCGCCCGGCCUUGGUCAGGCUACCGGCUCCGGCUAGUAAGCGCCCGCCAGAGGACCCCCAAACACUGAAUGUUAGUGUCGUCUGAGUACUAUAUAAUAGUUA